This is a long non-coding RNA of Myodes glareolus (Bank vole), 1349 nucleotides long. RefSeq lists it as uncharacterized. NCBI's taxonomy places the organism in Eukaryota, Metazoa, Chordata, Mammalia, Rodentia, Cricetidae. The record is from RefSeq and is a predicted model, not a curated record.
AACAGGCGUUGAGCUGCUAUUUCUCUUCUUUGUGUGGCAUGAGAGGGGCAAAAGCACAAAUUAAAGAGAUUAUGUUUUGUGGGAUUUUCUCCCCUAUUUCCCUUUCUUUUGGGACCAUCUGCCAUUGUCUUUAAAAGUUAAAAAGACACUGUGAGAGUGUGAAGGAUGUCAUCAGCAGCUGUGAAAACCCUCAACGCCUCUCGUCUCCGGUCCCAGACCUGCAUCUCACGCUCCUCCCCACACUGACCCUGUUUACAGGGCAAGGGCUGCACGUUUUACAUUUCCUGUGAUAAAGCUGCGAGAAUCAAGAUUGAAACAGCAAUUUAAGGGUUCUCUGGAAGGCCAGGACCUGCAAGCCCUAAGUUGGCCAGCCUCCACUCCUUGUCUCCAUUGUGACACGGCCACUGCCUAAACCUUAACUGGCGCAGAGUCUGAAGAAGAUGCUGGAGGUGCUCAAAUGUCCACUCAACCUCAAUGAUGUCAUCUGUGAACACUGCGGCGACAACAGCUUCGAGAGUCUGAGCCUGAAAAGCAUAGAGUCUCCUGUGUCCUUGGUACCCUGAGCUCCAAAGUCUCUGAUAGGUACCAUGUCUACAAAAGACUGUUCAUGAACAUGUUCCUCACUAGGAUUCCAAAAUACUAAAACAUGGUGGUAGCUACACCUCAUUACACUAAGAAAUGAGGAUGAUAGGAUUCUUUAGUGUUAGUAUUUGAAACACCAAAUCAAGAGAAGCUGCAGAGUAUGAAGUGGAGUUAAUGGAUUUAGAUGCUGAGCACCUUGAAACGCGAGGAUAAAAGUACAGCUGUCUAGUAAAGAUGCCUUCCCGUGAAUCUGCACAAAUAUACUGGGAUUUCAAUCUUACUGGAGAUGCUCUUAUAUCCGGUGCAAAACUUGGGGGACGUUUUCUGCAAGUGGAGAACUUCUUGGAAAAAAAGAACGUUAAAUUUUCCCUAGCAUGUAAUGUUAAUAAAGAGGAGAAAACAGUUACCAUAGAGAUGAAGAAGUGAGUUCCCUAGCUUUUUUCACAAUAGCUAUCCAUUGUCUCCUACAGUAACACCCAGUGUGUCUGCAGAGGUACUUCUUGCAAAAUUGCUGACAUACGUCACUUAAAUACUAUUUGGCCUCCAAGAUAAAAGACGGAGAAGAGUCUUAGGUGUUGAGAAAAUCUAAUAACACGAACCUUUUGAAGACGCUUUUGAGAUGCUAGUAUUUUUUGAAGUCUGUUAGCAUAUUUGUGCCUUAGUACAUAUGUAGAUAUCUUAUGUAAAUAACUUAGUUUUCCUCUCUCUGUUCUCUAAAAUUUAUUUUAAAAAUCCAAAGUUAAAACUGGUCUUGUUAACAUAAAAAC